GCUUUCACUUUAAAGUGAAAUAAGUCGUAACAGAGUAGUUUUACUGGAAAGUGAAUCUAGAAAGUCAAAUUAGAGCUUGAAAUAAAGUAUUUUAUUUACAUUAAAAAGUUAAUUGUGAAAAUCAAUUUAAUUUGAUAGAAAAAUAUUAUUUUAUUUAAAUUUUAUUUAGUAGUAAAAAAAAUAUUUUUAUUUUAGUAAUAAAAAGAAAAAAUUAUUUUAAUUAUAGAUUAUUAGUAUUGUGCAAGAAAUAAAAAAAAUUAUAUUUAAAGAAAAAUUAUUUUUU
RNAcentral lists this ribosomal RNA (283 nucleotides) under Xenohammus bimaculatus. RNAcentral describes it as "partial 12S ribosomal RNA". The record is from RNAcentral. Lineage: Eukaryota; Metazoa; Arthropoda; Insecta; Coleoptera; Cerambycidae.